CGAAAAUUGAAGAGGGCUUUGGGCCGAACAGCCUUGGAAUUCUGUCAAUUUCAGAUGUUCCUGAGUAUACUUUGUUGCAUCGAAACCUACUUCUUCUUUCACCUAGAUUAGCCAACCUGCCAGAAAGUGUGAAACAGGAGCUGGAAGAUCCUCAUAGAAGGUAACUAAACUUAUCCCAUGAUCAAUCCUUA
Ipomoea nil (Japanese morning glory) is the source of this 191-nucleotide long non-coding RNA. RefSeq lists it as uncharacterized. NCBI's taxonomy places the organism in Eukaryota, Viridiplantae, Streptophyta, Magnoliopsida, Solanales, Convolvulaceae. The transcript has 3 exons. The record is from RefSeq and is a predicted model, not a curated record.